AGGAUUAUAGUUUAAUAUUAAAACAUUUGAUUUGCAAUCAAAAAAUAUUAUUUUAAUUUAUCUU
This 64-nucleotide transfer RNA is filed under the name Arge similis. RNAcentral describes it as "tRNA-Ala". The record is from RNAcentral. Lineage: Eukaryota; Metazoa; Arthropoda; Insecta; Hymenoptera; Argidae.